RNAcentral lists this ribosomal RNA (247 nucleotides) under uncultured bacterium. Its description in RNAcentral is "partial 16S ribosomal RNA". It matches the Rfam family "Bacterial small subunit ribosomal RNA", at positions 523 to 769 of the family's 1533-position model. The record is from RNAcentral.
AUACGGAGGGUGCAAGCGUUGUUCGGAAUUAUUGGGCGUAAAGCGCGUGUAGGCGGUUGUUUAAGUCUGAUGUGAAAGCCCUGGGCUCAACCUGGGAAGUGCAUUGGAAACUGGGCAACUUGAGUACGGGAGAGGGUAGUGGAAUUCCGAGUGUAGGGGUGAAGUCCGUAGAUAUUCGGAGGAACGCCGGUGGCGAAGGCGGCUACCUGGACCGAUACUGACGCUGAGACGCGAAAGCGUGGGGAGC